UUAGUGGGGUAGAGAGAGAGAAAGAGAUAGUCUCAAUAGACCAAGAAGUAGCAACAUCUAAGGCUAAAAAGGAAACAAAGGAAGAAAGUUCUGGUAGUCCUCUGGUUUAUUGGACCACAAGUGAGAAUCAGACAGUUAAGCUGGAUCCAAGUGAGUUGAACUAUCUUGCGCCAACACCAGGCGAGUUUUUCGUCCCAUUGUUCAGUUCAUCGAUGAAAG
Long non-coding RNA from Anneissia japonica, 219 nucleotides. RefSeq lists it as uncharacterized. Lineage: Eukaryota; Metazoa; Echinodermata; Crinoidea; Comatulida; Comatulidae. The transcript has 2 exons. The record is from RefSeq and is a predicted model, not a curated record.